UUCAUUCGGCUGUCCAGAUGUAUCCAAGUACCCUGUUAUUUGGCAAUAAAUACAUCUGGGCAACUGAUUGAACU
Molecule: microRNA precursor, 74 nt
Filed under: Canis lupus familiaris (dog)
Lineage: Eukaryota; Metazoa; Chordata; Mammalia; Carnivora; Canidae
Also listed under: 1 other name
Description: Cfa-Mir-1298_pre stem-loop
Rfam family: mir-1298 microRNA precursor family
Source: RNAcentral